GACGAACGCUGGCGGCGUGCCUAACACAUGCAAGUCAACUGGCAGCAAUGCCGGUGGCGAACGGGUGAGUAACGCGUAGAUAAUCUACCCUUUAAUCAUGGAUAACCUAGUGAAAACUGGACUAAUACAGGAUGUGAUCUCGAGACGGCAUCGUUUUGGGAUUAAAGACUACGGGUCGUUAAAGGAUGAGUCUGCGUAUCAUUAGCUAGUUGGCGGGGUAACGGCCCACCAAGGCUACGAUGAUUAGCUGGUCUGAGAGGAUGAUCAGCCACACUGGGACUGAGAUACGGCCCAGACUCCUACGGGAGGCAG
This 312-nucleotide ribosomal RNA is filed under the name uncultured Fibrobacterota bacterium. RNAcentral's name for it is "bacterial SSU rRNA". It matches the Rfam family "Bacterial small subunit ribosomal RNA", at positions 28 to 351 of the family's 1533-position model. Lineage: Bacteria; Pseudomonadati; Fibrobacterota. The record is from RNAcentral.